GACGAACGCUGGCGGCGUGCCUAAUACAUGCAAGUAGAACGCACAGUUUAUACCGUAGCUUGCUACACCAUAGACUGUGAGUUGCGAACGGGUGAGUAACGCGUAGGUAACCUGCCUGGUAGCGGGGGAUAACUAUUGGAAACGAUAGCUAAUACCGCAUAAUAUUAAUUAUUGCAUGAUAAUUAAUUGAAAGGUGCAAUUGCACCACUACCAGAUGGACCUGCGUUGUAUUAGCUAGUAGGUGAGGUAACGGCUCACCUAGGCGACGAUACAUAGCCGACCUGAGAGGGUGAUCGGCCACACUGGGACUGAGACACGGCCCAGACUCCUACGGGAGGCAGCUGUAGGGAAUCUUCGGCAAUGGACGAAAGUCUGACCGAGCAACGCCGCGUGAGUGAAGAAGGUUUUCGGAUCGUAAAGCUCUGUUGUAAGAGAAGAACGGGUGUGAGAGUGGAAAGUUCACACUGUGACGGUAGCUUACCAGAAAGGGACGGCUAACUACGUG
This 505-nucleotide ribosomal RNA is filed under the name uncultured bacterium. RNAcentral's name for it is "partial 16S ribosomal RNA". It matches the Rfam family "Bacterial small subunit ribosomal RNA", at positions 28 to 507 of the family's 1533-position model. The record is from RNAcentral.